UGGGCACUUUAACUCUUGGCUUGGUCUGAAAUGAUAUAAAAACAACUUUAGCUGCUUUUCCAAAUCACUGGGUCAGGUUUGUAUGCCCUGGAGGUCAGU
This is a long non-coding RNA of Melanotaenia boesemani (Boeseman's rainbowfish), 99 nucleotides long. RefSeq lists it as uncharacterized. Lineage: Eukaryota; Metazoa; Chordata; Actinopteri; Atheriniformes; Melanotaeniidae. The record is from RefSeq and is a predicted model, not a curated record. The transcript has 3 exons.